CCUGGACCCGAAGCGGGAUGAUCUAGCCCUGGGCAGGUUGAAGCGCGGGUAAGACCGCGUGGAGGACCGAACCCACUUAGGUUGAAAACUGAGGGGAUGACCUGGGGCUAGGGGUGAAAGGCCAAUCAAAUUCCGUGAUAGCUGGUUCUCUCCGAAAUGCAUUUAGGUGCAGCGUCGGUCGAUUGCGUCGCGGGGGUAGAGCUACCGGAUGCUUGCGGGCCCUUGUUGGGUACCAACAGCAGCCGAACUCCGAAUACCGUUGACGUGUAUUCCGGCAGUGAGUCGGCGGGGGAUAAGCUCCGUCGUCGAGAGGGAGACAGCCCAGACCGUCGUCUAAGGUCCCGAAGCGUGUGCUAAGUGGGAAAGGAUGUGGAGUCGCAUAGACAGCCAGGAGGUUGGCUCAGAAGCAGCCAUCCUUGAAAGAGUGCGUAACAGCUCACUGGUCUAGUGGUUCCGCGCCGACAAUGUAGCGGGGCUCAAGCACACCACCGAAGACGCGGCAGCAAUCUUCAUGGUUGCUGGGUAGGAGAGCGUCCUGCGAGGGGCGAAGCGGCCGGGUGACCGUGCCGUGGACUUCGUGGGAGUGAGAAUGCAGACAUGAGUAGCGAGAGACGGGUGAGGAUCCCGUCCGCUGGAUGACCAAGGGUUCCGGGGCCACGUUCGUCGUCCCCGGGUGAGUCGGGUCCUAAGGCGAGGCCGACAGGCGUAGUCGAAUGGAUGAACGGGUGGAUAUUCCCGUACCGACCAUGGACCGGCAAAACCGAGACGGUGAGUACUAACCUCCGCCUCGUGGUGGUUCCUUCCUUCGGGUUGGUUCCGCCGCGUGGUGUUGGGAGCGUAGCCGUAGUAGGUCAGCGCAGGGGUGACACGGAAUGGGAGCCGGCCGCGGAGGUGGUUUUCCGUGGUCAAGCACGCAGCCAGUCAUGUAGGCAAAUCCGCAUGGCGCGCAUGGCGAGGUGUGAUGAUGGGAGCCGUUAUGGCUCGAUAUCCGGUUGUCCAGGCCGUCGAGAAAAGCCUCGGCGUGAGGGCCAUGGCCGCCCGUACCCCAAACCGACACUGGUGGUCAGGUAGAGAAUACCAAGGCGAUCGAGCGAAUCCUGGUCAAGGAACUCGGCAAAUCACUCCCGUGCCUUCGGUAUAAGGGAGACCCGCUGGGGUGAAGGACCUUGCGUCCGGAGCUUUGGUGGGUGGCACAGACCAGGGGGUAGCGACUGUUUACCAAAAACACAGGUGCAUGCGAAGGCGAAAGCCGCUGUAUAUGCACUGACGCCUGCCCGGUGCCGGAAGGUUAAGAGGAUCCGUCAACUCUUCGGAGCGAAGCGGUGAAUUCAAGCCCCGGUAAACGGCGGUGGUAACUAUAACCAUCCUAAGGUAGCGAAAUUCCUUGUCGGGUAAGUUCCGACCUGCACGAAUGGCGUAACGACUUCCCCACUGUCUCGACCAGGAGCUCGGCGAAAUUGCAGUACGAGUAAAGAUGCUCGUUAAGCGCAGAAGGACGAAAAGACCCCGGGACCUUUACUAUACCUUGGUAUUGGCGUUAGGCGCGGAUUGUGUAGCAUAGGCGGGAGGCUUCGAAGCGUGGGCGCCAGCUCAUGUGGAGCCGCAAGGUGAAAUACCGCUCUGUUCUCGUUUGACGUCUAACCUCGACAAGUCAUCCUUGUCAGGGACAGUGCCUGGCGGGUAGUUCAACUGGGGCGGUUGCCUCCCAAAGAGUAACGGAGGCGCUCAAAGGUCCGCUCAGCCCGGUUGGCAAUCGGGUGUCGAGUGUAAUCGCACAAGCGGGCUUGACUGCGAGGACGACGGUCCGAGCAGGGACGAAAGUCGGAGAUAGUGAUCCGGUGCCGGCGCACGGGCGCGGCAUCGCUCAACGGAUAAAAGGUACCCCGGGGAUAACAGGCUGAUCAUUCCCAAGAGUCCAUAUCGACGGGAUGGUUUGGCACCUCGAUGUCGGCUCGUCGCAUCCUGGGGCUGGAGCAGGUCCCAAGGGUUCGGCUGUUCGCCGAUUAAAGCGGCACGCGAGCUGGGUUCAGAACGUCGUGAGACAGUUUGGUCUCUAUCCUCUGCGCUCGUUGGAAUCCUGAGGAGGCCUGCCCAUAGUACGAGAGGACCUGGGUGGACGAACCUCUGGUAUGCCGGUUGUCGCGCCAGCGGCACGGCCGGUUGGCUACGUUCGG
RNAcentral lists this ribosomal RNA (2174 nucleotides) under human gut metagenome. RNAcentral's name for it is "bacterial LSU rRNA". It matches the Rfam family "Bacterial large subunit ribosomal RNA", at positions 708 to 2758 of the family's 2925-position model. The record is from RNAcentral.